This 331-nucleotide ribosomal RNA is filed under the name uncultured bacterium. Its description in RNAcentral is "bacterial SSU rRNA". It matches the Rfam family "Bacterial small subunit ribosomal RNA", at positions 568 to 898 of the family's 1533-position model. The record is from RNAcentral.
CGUGUAGGCGGUUCGGUAAGUCCGCUGUAAAGUCCAGGGCUCAACCCUGGAAAGCCGGUGGAAACUGUCAAACUAGAGUCCGGAAGAGGCGAGUGGAAUUCCUGGUGUAGCGGUGAAAUGCGCAGAUAUCAGGAGGAACACCAAUGGCGAAGGCAGCUCGCUGGGACGAUACUGACGCUGAGACGCGAAAGCGUGGGGAGCAAACAGGAUUAGAUACCCUGGUAGUCCACGCUGUAAACGAUGGGCACUAGGUGUGGGGGGUGUCGACUCCCUCCGUGCCGACGCUAACGCAUUAAGUGCCCCGCCUGGGGAGUACGGCCGCAAGGCUAAA